UUGUCCGGAUUUACUGGGUGUAAAGGGUGCGUAGGCGGCAAGGCAAGUCAGGCGUGAAAUCUGUGGGCUUAACCCACAAACUGCGCUUGAAACUGUCUUGCUUGAGUGAAGUAGAGGUAGGCGGAAUUCCCGGUGUAGCGGUGAAAUGCGUAGAGAUCGAGAGGAACACCAGUGGCGAAGGCGGCCUACUGGGCUUUAACUGACGCUGAAGCACGAAAGCAUGGGUAGCAAACAGGAUUAGAUACCCUGGUAGUCCAUGCCGUAAACGAUGAUUACUAGGUGUGGGGGGUCUGACCCCCUCCGUGCCGCAGUUAACACAAUAAGUAAUCCACCUGGGGAGUACGGCCGCAAGGUUGAAACUCAA
This 364-nucleotide ribosomal RNA is filed under the name uncultured bacterium. RNAcentral describes it as "bacterial SSU rRNA". It matches the Rfam family "Bacterial small subunit ribosomal RNA", at positions 541 to 904 of the family's 1533-position model. The record is from RNAcentral.